AGCAGCCGCGGUAAUUCCAGCUCCAAUAGCGUAUAUUAAAGUUGUUGCAGUUAAAAAGCUCGUAGUUGAACUUCGGAACCAGUAGGUUGGUCGUGCCUACGGUACGUACUGACCUUACCGGUUUCUCCCUUCUGACGAACCAUAAUGCCAUUAAUUUGGUGUUGUGGGGAAUCAGGACUGUUACUUUGAAAAAAUUAGAGUGUUUAAAGCAGGCUUUAAGCUUGAAUAGAUUAGCAUGGAAUAACGAAAUAGGACGUUUGAUCUUAUUUUGUUGGUUUCUAGGAUCGACGUA
This 292-nucleotide ribosomal RNA is filed under the name uncultured Glomus. RNAcentral describes it as "partial small subunit ribosomal RNA". It matches the Rfam family "Eukaryotic small subunit ribosomal RNA", at positions 569 to 864 of the family's 1831-position model. Lineage: Eukaryota; Fungi; Glomeromycota; Glomeromycetes; Glomerales; Glomeraceae. The record is from RNAcentral.